CUAUUUUUUGUAGAGAUGGGGGUCUCACUAUGUUGCCCAGGCUGCUGUGAGAACACUCUUCUAAGAUACAGGAUAUAACAUCCUAGAAAGAGCCCAGGAGGUGGGGCCAACAUGCUGCCUGUGUAGCCCCUGGAGGCUUGGAGAAAGCAUGGCCCUCUCUAAGCAGAGGUGCCAACAUUGCUGUGGCAGCCAGGGACAUCCGACCUUCCCAGAGCUGUGGAGGUGGCGAAUUGAGCAGGUUAUUCCUGUGGCCAAGGAGGAGAACAGCCCACAAAGUCAUUGCUUAAUCUACACAACCAAAAGAAAUCCAAGAUGGGAGAUGGAGGCUGAGGGCAGCUACCCCAGUGAAAAACUUCAGACCAGACCCCAGUGCCUGAAGGAGAGGCUGGGUUUCCAGGAGGAACAACUCCUUCACGGCAGUGAACGGAGUUUCAUACUUGUUGCCCAGGCUGGAGUGCAAUGGCACAAUCUUGGCUCACCACAAACUCUGCCUCCCAGAUUCAAGUGAGCUCUGUCACCCACGCUAGAGUGCAGUGGCAUGAUCGUAGCGUACUGCAACCUCCACCUCCUGGGCGCAAGAAAUGCUCCCACCUCAGCCUCCUGAGUAGCUGGGACUACAGGUGUGCACCACCACGCCCGGCUACACCACGCCUGGUCUUGAAUUCCUGGGCUCAAGGAGUCCUCUUGCCUCAGGCUACCAAAGUGCUGGGAUUAUAGGUGACAGCCACCGCACUCGGCCAAAAUUGGAAGAAUAUAUAUAUAUAUAUACCCGGUGAAAUAAUCACCACAAUCAAAAAAAUGACUACAUCCAUCACUGAAAACUUUCCUUAUGCCCUUCUGUGAUCCUUUUCUCCCUCCCCCAAGGACCCCUUGGAGAGGCAAGGCAAUGCCACAGGCAAGCACUGAUCUGCUUUCUGUUUGAUUCAUUUGCGAUUUCUAGAAUUUUAUAUAGAUGGAAUCAUACAAUGUGUACUCUUUUGUCUGGCUUCUUUCCAUUAGCAUAAUUAUUUUGAGAUUUAUCUGUAGUGAUGUGAAUAUCAAUAGUUUAUUAUUAUUUUUUCUUUUUUUCUUUUUUAGACAGGGUCUUGCUCUGUCACCCAGGUUGGAGUGCAGUUCAUUCUUUUAAAAUUGCUAAACAGUAUUCCAUAGCAUGGAUGUGCCAUAAUUUAUGCAUUCUUCUUUUUUUUUUUUUUUUGCCCCCGAGAUGGAGUCUUGCUCUGUUGCCCAGUGGCUCUAUCUCAGCUCACUGCAACCUCCGCCUCCCGGGUUUAAUCGAUACUCCUGCCUCAGCCUCCCGAGUAGCUGGGAUUACAGGCACAUGCCACCAUGUGCCGCUAAUUUUUGUAUUUUUAGUAGAGGUGGAGUUUCACCAUGUUGGCCAGACUGGUCUUGAACUCCUGACCUCAUGAUCCGCCCACCUCAGCCUCCCAAAGUGCUGGGACUACAGGGAUGAGCCACUGUGCCUGGCUGCAUUCUUCUGUUGAUGGACACUUGGGUUGUUUCCAGUUUCUAACUAUUACCAAUAAAGUGUCUAUACAUA
Homo sapiens (human) is the source of this 1540-nucleotide long non-coding RNA. RefSeq lists it as uncharacterized. The record is from RefSeq and is a predicted model, not a curated record. NCBI's taxonomy places the organism in Eukaryota, Metazoa, Chordata, Mammalia, Primates, Hominidae. The transcript is spliced from 2 exons.